This 273-nucleotide small RNA is filed under the name Cryptococcus neoformans H99. RNAcentral describes it as "Cryptococcus neoformans var. grubii H99 hypothetical RNA". The record is from RNAcentral. Lineage: Eukaryota; Fungi; Basidiomycota; Tremellomycetes; Tremellales; Cryptococcaceae.
GUUCCUGUCUCAUUUCUGGUUAUCAAGCGCGGCAGCGAUGAUGAUGGGUGGACAGUUGAUUAUACAAGUAGUCACUAUUAAAUUACUGUUACUGGUGGGUACUGAACUUUCAUCCUACUACAUCUUCAGUCACGCAUGCAGCAUUCGAUAGUGUAGCGGUACCACUGUUCAAGUAGAGGCCGGAAAGCACCUGAAGCUACAAUAGUUUCGUUGUCCUCAGUCGUUUGUAUUCAAUUGAACUAGAAGCUCCGAAUGUAGUCGAUUGACUGGUAG